UAGGGAAUCUUCCGCAAUGGGCGAAAGCCUGACGGAGCAACGCCGCGUGAGUGAUGAAGGUCUUCGGAUCGUAAAACUCUGUUAUUAGGGAAGAACAAAUGUGUAAGUAACUAUGCACGUCUUGACGGUACCUAAUCAGAAAGCCACGGCUAACUACGUGCCAGCAGCCGCGGUAAUACGUAGGUGGCAAGCGUUAUCCGGAAUUAUUGGGCGUAAAGCGCGCGUAGUCGGUUUUUUAAGUCUGAUGUGAAAGCCCACGGCUCAACCGUGGAGGGUCAUUGGAAACUGGAAAACUUGAGUGCAGAAGAGGAAAGUGGAAUUCCAUGUGUAGCGGUGAAAUGCGCAGAGAUAUGGAGGAACACCAGUGGCGAAGGCGACUUUCUGGUCUGUAACUGACGCUGAUGUGCGAAAGCGGGGGGAUCAAACAGG
Molecule: ribosomal RNA, 429 nt
Filed under: Actinomycetes bacterium
Lineage: Bacteria; Bacillati; Actinomycetota; Actinomycetes
Description: Actinobacteria bacterium partial 16S ribosomal RNA
Rfam family: Bacterial small subunit ribosomal RNA
Source: RNAcentral